GAUGAACGCUGGCGGCGUGCCUAAUACAUGCAAGUCGAGCGAACAGACGAGGAGCUUGCUCCUCUGACGUUAGCGGCGGACGGGUGAGUAACACGUGGAUAACCUACCUAUAAGACUGGGAUAACUUCGGGAAACCGGAGCUAAUACCGGAUAACAUGGUGAACCGCAUGGUUCAACAGUGAAAGACGGUCUUGCUGUCACUUGUAGAUUGAUCCGCGCCGCAUUAGCUAGUUGGUAAGGUAACGGCUUACCAAGGCAACGAUGCGUAGCCGACCUGAGAGGGUGAUCGGCCACACUGGAACUGAGACACGGUCCAGACUCCUACGGGAGGCAGCAGUAGGGAAUCUUCCGCAAUGGGCGAAAUCCUGACGGAGCAACGCCGCGUGAGUGAAGAAGGUCUUCGGAUCGUAAAACUCUGUUAUUAGGGAAGAACAAAUGUGUAAGUAACUAUGCACGUCUUGACGGUACCUAAUCAGAAAGCCACGGCUAACUACGUG
This 497-nucleotide ribosomal RNA is filed under the name uncultured bacterium. RNAcentral's name for it is "partial 16S ribosomal RNA". It matches the Rfam family "Bacterial small subunit ribosomal RNA", at positions 28 to 507 of the family's 1533-position model. The record is from RNAcentral.